AAAUUGAAGAGUUUGAUCAUGGCUCAGAUUGAACGCUGGCGGCAGGCCUAACACAUGCAAGUCGAACGGUAACAGGAAACAGCUUGCUGUUUCGCUGACGAGUGGCGGACGGGUGAGUAAUGUCUGGGAAACUGCCUGAUGGAGGGGGAUAACUACUGGAAACGGUAGCUAAUACCGCAUAACGUCGCAAGACCAAAGAGGGGGACCUUCGGGCCUCUUGCCAUCGGAUGUGCCCAGAUGGGAUUAGCUUGUUGGUGGGGUAACGGCUCACCAAGGCGACGAUCCCUAGCUGGUCUGAGAGGAUGACCAGCCACACUGGAACUGAGACACGGUCCAGACUCCUACGGGAGGCAGCAGUGGGGAAUAUUGCACAAUGGGCGCAAGCCUGAUGCAGCCAUGCCGCGUGUAUGAAGAAGGCCUUCGGGUUGUAAAGUACUUUCAGCGGGGAGGAAGGGAGUAAAGUUAAUACCUUUGCUCAUUGACGUUACCCGCAGAAGAAGCACCGG
RNAcentral lists this ribosomal RNA (506 nucleotides) under Escherichia coli. RNAcentral's name for it is "bacterial SSU rRNA". It matches the Rfam family "Bacterial small subunit ribosomal RNA", at positions 1 to 496 of the family's 1533-position model. Lineage: Bacteria; Pseudomonadati; Pseudomonadota; Gammaproteobacteria; Enterobacterales; Enterobacteriaceae. The record is from RNAcentral.